Molecule: long non-coding RNA, 149 nt
Organism: Leopardus geoffroyi (Geoffroy's cat)
Lineage: Eukaryota; Metazoa; Chordata; Mammalia; Carnivora; Felidae
Exons: 3
Source: RefSeq, a predicted model, not a curated record
GAGAGUGUGUUUGGGGAGGGCAGGUAGCAGGAAGGCUGGCGCCAGCCAGGGAACGGUGACUCCUCCCGGCCUGAGAUUUGGCUGUGACAUUCCGGGUUCCCCCAGGGCCCCUGAGGUCCGUAUCUCCAGCCCUAGCCUGACAACUCAAG